AAUGAACGCUGGAGGCAGGCCUAACACAUGCAAGUCGAACGGAUCCUUCGGGAUUAGUGGCGGACGGGUGAGUAACGCGUGGGAACAUACUCUUUGGUAAGGAAUAGCCUCGGGAAACUGGGAGUAAUACCGUAUGUGGUCGAGAGAUGAAAGAUUUAUCGCCGAAGGAUUGGCCCUCGUUGGAUUAGGUAGUUGGUGGGGUAAUGGCCUACCAAGCCGACGAUCCAUAGCCGGUUUGAGAGGAUGAUCAGCAGCAUUGGGAAUGAGACACGGCCCAGACUCCGACGGGAGGCAGCAGUGGGGAAUCUUAGACAAUGGGGGAAACCCUGAUCUAGCCAUGCCGCGUGAUCGAUGAAGGCCUUAGGGUUGUAAAGAUCUUUCAGGUGGGAAGAUAAUGACUGUACCACCAGAAGAAGCCCCGGCUAACUCCGUGCCAGCCGCCGCGGUAA
Molecule: ribosomal RNA, 449 nt
Filed under: uncultured bacterium
Lineage: Bacteria
Description: partial 16S ribosomal RNA
Rfam family: Bacterial small subunit ribosomal RNA
Source: RNAcentral